RNAcentral lists this long non-coding RNA (1145 nucleotides) under Homo sapiens (human). RNAcentral's name for it is "HSALNT0270595". Lineage: Eukaryota; Metazoa; Chordata; Mammalia; Primates; Hominidae. The record is from RNAcentral.
GGAGGACUGGGAAGGUGGGAAGUGGGAGGACCGUCCAACAUGGCGCUGUGGAAAGCCAGCGCAGGGCCCCAGGGGAUCUUCCGGGGCGGAUGCAGCUGCCUAGGAGUGCUGGGGCUCGCGCGCCUCGGCGGCUCAAACUCUGACCCCUUGAGAUCCUUUCCAGCCCGACCCCUUACUUUAGGGGUCAGCCUGCCCCCGUAAGUCCUGUUAUUUAUUGUAUUUAUAUUCUUUUUUUAGUUGGUCCUUUUUUGUUUGUUUUUGAGACGGAGUUUCACUCUUGUUGCCCAGGCUGGAGUGCCAUGGCGCGAUCUCAGCUCACUCCAAUCUCUGCCCUCCGGGUUCAAGCGAUUCUCCAGCCUCAGCCUCCCGAGUAGCUGGAAUUACAGGCGCGCGCCAACACGUCCGGCUAAUUUUCGUAUUUGUAGUAGAGACGGGGGUUUCGCCACCUUGGCCAGGCUGGUCUAGAACUCCUGACCUUAGGUGAUCCACCCGCCUCGGCCUCCUAAAGUGCUGGGAUUACAGGCGUGAGCCACCGCCCCUCACGCCUGGCUAGUUUGUCCUUUUCAUGGGGACUUUUUAUUGUACGCGGGUUACUCUGAAAAAGAUCGCGAUUCGUCCCCUCGCCCUGCAGGCGCCGCUGCCGCCUCGCCUCGGGCGUGGACCCUGCGGCUCGGGCCUGCGCGUGUGCACCCCGAGGUUGUCUCACUUCCUGUUCAGGGCGACCAGCGCUGCGCCCUCCCCACUCCACAGAUGAGGAAGCUGAGGUUAAAGUCACUUGCCCCAGGUCACUCCGCAAGUUGAAGCGCAACCAGGAUACUCUGGAACAGGAUGCCUGACUUCAGAGGAGAGGCGCGUAACCACCAGGCAACUGGCCCCACGAAAACAAGUCCCGCAACUUCCCUUCUUUGGCUCCUACUUGCUCCCGGAAGAAAAGCCUUAAACGACAGCAGAUCAGGAGCACCCCGCGCGCCCCCCCCCGCCCCGCCCCGCGUCGGCGCCGGCCCCCUGCAAUGGUUGGCGGUAUGGGGAGGUGAACCAAGAAGGCCAGGAGUUCAAGUGCGUGAUCCCCCACUGGGGCAUAUAGGUUACAGCCGCCAGGGCAACUGAAACUCCUCAGGCUCCAGAGGGCUGAAGUGAGUCGCCUC